GCACACUCAACUGCCCUUAAAGCUUCCAUACCUCAAAAACAGAAACAGGACAGGAGAGAACAGGAUGUGGCGAGAUCACAUGCUUAGCGUGUAAAGGUAAUACUGAUCCAAAAUAUCUUGCAUUUGGGAAAAGCAAUGAUUAUUUUAAUCUCCAAGAGAAGUUAAGAACAAGUCACAACCAAAAAGUAAGUAUUUGUCCUGAUUUGCAGGUCAAUUUAGGUCCUCAAAAAC
RNAcentral lists this long non-coding RNA (231 nucleotides) under Gallus gallus (chicken). The record is from RNAcentral. Lineage: Eukaryota; Metazoa; Chordata; Aves; Galliformes; Phasianidae.